GCGGCGUGAUUACAAACCGGACGUCUGAAGGUCAACCGAACCGGCAGAGUCGAUGUGGACCCUUGUCCCCCCGUGGCUGAGUG
This is a small nucleolar RNA of Trypanosoma cruzi, 83 nucleotides long. The record is from RefSeq and is a predicted model, not a curated record. Lineage: Eukaryota; Euglenozoa; Kinetoplastea; Trypanosomatida; Trypanosomatidae.